This 990-nucleotide ribosomal RNA is filed under the name uncultured bacterium. RNAcentral's name for it is "bacterial SSU rRNA". It matches the Rfam family "Bacterial small subunit ribosomal RNA", at positions 82 to 1105 of the family's 1533-position model. The record is from RNAcentral.
UCCUNCGAGAAGAGUNGCCGACGGUGAGUAACGCGUGAGAAUUUGCCUUCCAGAACGGGGACANCAGUUGGAAACGACUGCUUAUACCCGAUGAACCGAAAGGGAAAAGAUUUAUNGUCUGGAGAGGAGCUCGCGUCCGAUUAGCUAGUUGGUGUGGUAAAGGCGCACCAAGGCGGCGAUCGGUAGCUGGUUUGAGAGGACAAUCAGCCACACUGGGACUGAGACACGGCCCAGACUCUUACGGGAGGCAGCAGUGGGGAAUUUUCCGCAAUGGGCGAAAGCCUGACGGAGCAAGACCGCGUGAGGGAGGAAGGCUCUUGGGUUGUAAACCUCUUUUCUCAGGGAAGAAGAUCUGACGGUACCUGAGGAAUAAGCCUCGGCUAACUCCGUGCCAGCAGCCGCGGUAAUACGGAGGAGGCAAGCGUUAUCCGGAAUUAUUGGGCGUAAAGCGUCCGCAGGUGGCAAUUCAAGUCUGCUGUCAAAGACCGGGGCUUAACUCUGGGAAGGCAGUGGAAACUGGAUAGCUAGAGUGCGGUAGGGGUAGAGGGAAUUCCCGGUGUAGCGGUGAAAUGCGUAGAGAUCGGGAAGAACACCAGUAGCGAAAGCGCUCUGCUGGACCGCAACUGACACUAAGGGACGAAAGCUAGGGGAGCGAAUGGGAUUAGAUACCCCAGUAGUCCUAGCCGUAAACGAUGGAUACUAGGUGUCGACUGUAUCGACCCGGUCGGCGCCGUAGCUAACGCGUUAAGUAUCCCGCCUGGGGAGUACGCACGCAAGUGUGAAACUCAAAGGAAUUGACGGGGGCCCGCACAAGCGGUGGAGUAUGUGGUUUAAUUCGAUGCAACGCGAAGAACCUUACCAGGGCUUGACAUGUCGCGAACCAGGGGGAAACUCUUGGGUGCCUUAGGGAGCGCGAACACAGGUGGUGCAUGGCUGUCGUCAGCUCGUGUCGUGAGAUGUUGGGUUAAGUCCCGCAACGAGCGCAACCCU